RNAcentral lists this long non-coding RNA (482 nucleotides) under Rattus norvegicus (Norway rat). RNAcentral describes it as "long non-coding RNA NONRATT017400". The record is from RNAcentral. Lineage: Eukaryota; Metazoa; Chordata; Mammalia; Rodentia; Muridae.
UCCUCGGUCCCUUCUGACUCCGACUUGGACGCACUGCGGAGUUUUCCCGGCAUUAUUCAGCAGGAGCAGCUCAGGCCUACCGGCUUCCACAACCGCGUGCAAAGGAAAGAGAGCGACAGAGAAAGCCGACCGCCUCCCAGCCCGGCCUCGCUCGUCACUUCCGGAGCGGAGCGCAUCCGGCGGAAGUAGCGUACACCGGUGUGGCUGCGAUUCGCAUGGCUUUGGAUGGGAUCCGUCUGUGCAGCGUGGAGGAGAGAGCCGGCUAGAUUUGGUUAGCGACCUUGAAUCUGACCCUGCUUCUCCACUUCCCAAGUCUGGAAUUACCAGCCGGCAACAUUUUUCCACGAAAAGUCGUGCGAUAUGUACGCCACCUGUGGGAAAACUGAUGGGAGGUGACAGCUAAACCCAGGUGCCUGGUGAGCACUGGAAUUCAGGGACCAGCGAGAUACCUUGGUCCUGGUGACCUGAAUUUGAAAACAGAA